Molecule: non-coding RNA, 45 nt
Organism: Echinostoma caproni
Lineage: Eukaryota; Metazoa; Platyhelminthes; Trematoda; Plagiorchiida; Echinostomatidae
Source: Rfam
GCACUGCUGAUGAGACUCGACCAGGUCGAAACAGUUGUCCAGUGC